This 320-nucleotide ribosomal RNA is filed under the name Fusarium sp. RNAcentral describes it as "partial large subunit ribosomal RNA". It matches the Rfam family "Eukaryotic large subunit ribosomal RNA", at positions 331 to 670 of the family's 3401-position model. Lineage: Eukaryota; Fungi; Ascomycota; Sordariomycetes; Hypocreales; Nectriaceae. The record is from RNAcentral.
AGACCGAUAGCGAACAAGUAGAGUGAUCGAAAGAUGAAAAGCACUUUGAAAAGAGAGUUAAAAAGUACGUGAAAUUGUUGAAAGGGAAGCGUUUAUGACCAGACUUGGACUUGGUUAAUCAUCUGGGGUUCUCCCCAGUGCACUUUUCCAGUUCAGGCCAGCAUCAGUUUUCGCCGGGGGAUAAAGGCUUCGGGAAUGUAGCUCUCUUCGGGGAGUGUUAUAGCCCGUUGUGUAAUACCCUGGCGGAGACUGAGGUUCGCGCUUCUGCAAGGAUGCUGGCGUAAUGGUCAUCAACGACCCGUCUUGAAACACGGACCAAG